UACGGAGGAUCCAAGCGUUAUCCGGAUUUAUUGGGUUUAAAGGGUGCGUAGGUGGCCUGUUAAGUCAGGGGUGAAAGACGGUAGCUCAACUAUCGCAGUGCCUUUGAUACUGACGGGCUUGAAUACACUAGAGGUAGGCGGAAUGUGACAAGUAGCGGUGAAAUGCAUAGAUAUGUCACAGAACACCAAUUGCGAAGGCAGCUUACUAUGGUGUCAUUGACACUGAGGCACGAAAGCGUGGGGAUCAAACAGG
RNAcentral lists this ribosomal RNA (253 nucleotides) under uncultured bacterium. Its description in RNAcentral is "partial 16S ribosomal RNA". It matches the Rfam family "Bacterial small subunit ribosomal RNA", at positions 524 to 776 of the family's 1533-position model. The record is from RNAcentral.